Long non-coding RNA from Hordeum vulgare subsp. vulgare (domesticated barley), 1634 nucleotides. RefSeq lists it as uncharacterized. The record is from RefSeq and is a predicted model, not a curated record. The transcript has 2 exons. Lineage: Eukaryota; Viridiplantae; Streptophyta; Magnoliopsida; Poales; Poaceae.
ACAACAACAAAAGAGAAAAGGCAUAGUUAUUUGGCUGUAUAAAAACUGCUAAUAAUCUGCGUAUAACAAACCGACAAACUUGCCUACCGCAGCAGCACAAUCUUGCCUAUAAAAACUGCAAGUUGUUUAAAAGAUAACUUGCAUAAAAUCUAGUGUUGUAAAUGCUUUGCCUGCUAUGGUCACAUGUUUACAUUACAGUUUUACAGAGUUGUUGCCUGCUAUGUAAAUGGAAUGCUGGAUUAAAAGCCAACAUAAUGCUGAACUCAAAAAAUGUUGAAGUUCCAAUUAAGAAAUGCAGUAUUUUGGCUGCUUUGCCUGCCAGAAACCCCUUCAUAAGAUGCCUACAAGAAAAAAAUGGUAAAGAGUGUUGUGUGCUGCAAUUGAAACGAGUAUCACCUACUUUGGUCAUCGUUGAGUAGUACAUGUUGCCUGAUCAUUACAUAGUUCCAAAAAUGUGUAAAGGGCAUGCUGGUAGGGGACAAAAAAAUAUAAAAACAUGUCGGCAUUUUUGAGUGCAUAAAGAAAAAGAUGUUUGGGUGUUUCCUUUUAACAUGAUUUCGCUUUCACGGAAUUUCCUUUCUACCUUCUAAAGAAUGUGGAGAUGGAUGAGCUUGAUCUCAAUAAACUCCCUGGUGACAUUGAUUAUUGUGAUGGAGGCCCGCUACACUGUACACAGGUCCCACAUGGCAAAAUGCCUAUUUCUAUCCAGGGAUUGGCCAAGUCGCAGAUUUGCUAUCUGCUCCUGUCCAACAUGUCCACGAUGUGGUAUUUUCGUGUUGCGAAGGCUAUUGCUAUUGGGCGACUAGAUGGGACUAGUGAGGCGAGUUAGUAUAUGAAGGGUGGGCGACUUCGAGUGUCGUGGAGUAGUCGACUAAAUUCAUGGGUUUCGGCGACUUGGUGUACCGGAUUUGGCGAUUUAAUUGUUUGCUUUUUUUGGGUGACUCGAUGAGAAAUGGGAGGCGAUUAAGCAUUGGUUUUGAGCGACUAGAUCAGACUAGUGAAGCGAGUUAGUAUAUGGAGGGUGGACGACUUUGAGUGUUGUGGAGCAGGCGACUAAGUUCAUGGGUUUCGGCGACUUGGUGUACCGGAUUUGGCGAUUUAAUUGUUUGCUUUUUUUGGGUGACUCGAUGAGAAAUGGGAGGCGAUUAAGCGUUGGUUUUGAGCGACUAGAUGGGACUAGUGAGGUGAGUUCGUAUCGAGUUUUGUGGAGCGGGCGACUAAGUUUAUGGGUUUCGGCGACUUGGUGUACUGGAUUAGGCGAUUUAGUUGUUUGCUUUUUUGGGGUCACUUGAUGAGAAAUGGGAGCCGAUUAAGCAUUGGUUUUGGGCGACUAGAUGGGACUAGUGAGGUGAGAUAGUAUAUGGAGGGUGGAUGACUUCGAGUGUGGUGGAUUAGGCAACUAAGUUCAUGGGUUUCGGUGAUUUGUUGUGCCGGAUUAGGCUAUUUAAUUGUUUGCUUUUUUUGGGCGACUUGAUGAGAAAUUGAAGGCGAUUAAGCGCUGGUUUUGGGCGACUAAAUGGGACUACUGAGGUGAGUCAGUAUAUGGAGGGUGGACGACUUCGAGUGUGGUGGAUUAGGCGACUAAGUUCAUGGGUUUUGGUGAUUUGUUGUGCGGAUUAUACGAUUUAAUUGUU